UCAAAAGAAUCACCACAGCCCCCCUGCAAUCCAAGCAACUGCUGCUGAAUUGGCUGAUUUGUACAAGAUGCACCAUUUCUGAGGACUUCUGGCACAGUGGCCUGCACUGUUUAAAGUUCGCAAGAUCAGUGCUGAAUUGAAAAGAAUCCCCACAGUCCCACUGCAAUGGCCUGCACUGUUCCAAGUCCACAAGGUCAUGGAUGAAGUUGCCGUAGACGAAGCAAAUGAAGACAUCACUAUUGGAAUCUGCUCUGACAGAAGAUUGGGCAUCCCACCCUUAGGACAUUGUCAGUUUUAGUGUAUGUCUGUCACACACGUGACACCCAAUCGGAAAGGACUCUUUUUUUCAGCAACUAAAAAAC
Engraulis encrasicolus (European anchovy) is the source of this 362-nucleotide long non-coding RNA. RefSeq lists it as uncharacterized. The record is from RefSeq and is a predicted model, not a curated record. The transcript is spliced from 4 exons. NCBI's taxonomy places the organism in Eukaryota, Metazoa, Chordata, Actinopteri, Clupeiformes, Engraulidae.